ACUUUUUCCUCACAGUUAAAGCAAAAGCACUAGCUCGAAAAACUUCUUUGGAGAACACUCGGAACUCAUCAGCUCAUUCCAAAAAUGGACGAACUUUCUGAACAUCAUGUCUUCCAACAGGUUGCUGUCGUGACAGAUAUUGAGUCCUGCCUGAUAUCUCAUCCAUUUCCCUUCGUGGGAAUUAGUGUCCUCAAGGCAGGUCUUUGGAGCUGGAAGGCAAUUUAGUGAUCAGUCUGUCCCAACCCCUUUUUCCUGAAUCCCAGACAGCACGCAUGUGGUUUGAUCAACCUCCCGGGGAUACCCAGGUCACAAAUGGCACAUGAAGUCUCUAAUUCAGCUGGCUGUGUCCUUUGCAACAUUUAAGGAAAGAAAUGGUGUGAUCGAUAGUGUAACAGAGGAGGUUUGCUACCAGUUCAUGUUUCUGGACAGAAUGUGAAUUACCUCUCCUUGCCUCCCCUGAUCUAUAUAUGAUCCAAUGUAAACAGAAAUGUAAA
This is a long non-coding RNA of Hyaena hyaena (striped hyena), 494 nucleotides long. RefSeq lists it as uncharacterized. Lineage: Eukaryota; Metazoa; Chordata; Mammalia; Carnivora; Hyaenidae. The transcript has 3 exons. The record is from RefSeq and is a predicted model, not a curated record.